GCGCCAUUAGCUCAAUUGGAUAGAGCAUCGCGCUGGUUGCAGGUUCAAGCCCUGCAUGGCGCACCA
RNAcentral lists this transfer RNA (66 nucleotides) under Acinetobacter johnsonii. Its description in RNAcentral is "tRNA-OTHER". It matches the Rfam family "tRNA". Rfam says of the family: Transfer RNA (tRNA) molecules are approximately 80 nucleotides in length. Their secondary structure includes four short double-helical elements and three loops (D, anti-codon, and T loops). The record is from RNAcentral. Lineage: Bacteria; Pseudomonadati; Pseudomonadota; Gammaproteobacteria; Moraxellales; Moraxellaceae.